Molecule: non-coding RNA, 72 nt
Organism: Rattus norvegicus (Norway rat)
Lineage: Eukaryota; Metazoa; Chordata; Mammalia; Rodentia; Muridae
Source: Rfam
UGAGUUGUAGCUCAGUGGUAGAGCGCAUACCUUGCAUGUAUGUUGUCCCGGGAUUGAUUCCCGGCCUCUCCA